Equus caballus (horse) is the source of this 769-nucleotide long non-coding RNA. RefSeq lists it as uncharacterized. Lineage: Eukaryota; Metazoa; Chordata; Mammalia; Perissodactyla; Equidae. The record is from RefSeq and is a predicted model, not a curated record.
CCAGCAAGUGGCUGAUCUAGGGGUUUGACCCCAGGCCUUUGUGACUCCAUAGUUCAUACUCCAUGACAUCACACAGCAUCUUAUUAUUGGAACUGCUCAUAGUGUCAAACAUGGCCUCAUACCCCAGCCCCUCACUUCUGCCAGGGGUGAGCUAGCCAUCUGCACCCUCCACAGUUGCCUGCUGAGGAAGGAAAGGAGUGGGAGGAAAAAGGAAGCAGAAUGACUCUCCCAGCUUCUGAGAAAACGCCAAGCUCUCCUGUGUGAUGACUCCACUCUUCAAGGGGGCUCUGCCAGCUCAGGGCAAGAGCAAAUUUAUUUCUUUUCAUGCUUUAAGAUGUUAUUGGCUGCAUAUUGUUUUAAUGCAGCACGUAAUUACAGAAACUGCUCUGAAAAUCUGUAUAUUUUAUCUGUGCUUUAUUAUACCCAGAAUAAUCCCCAAUUCUUUUUCUUCUACAUGAACCAGCUUAAAAUAUAUUUUGGCGUCCUUUAUGUCAUCUUGAAAUUGAAUAGCCAAUUCUUACUGUAAUGAAAAUACUUCUGCACCAGCCUGGUGAUAUACAACACUACACUCUAAUUACGGCUGUGCUUUAAUUAACCUGAAUUGAAGAGUGUUAUCAUUAAACUGCUGGUAACUUUGAGUUAUGGCUUUUCUUUAAUUUAAAGUAGAAAGCACAGAUAAUUAAGCCUCCAGAUAAUCAAAUGCUUGAGGAGAGCUUCAAUGUUUUGGGAGGUUCCUAAAUCUCAUUAAAUGUCCUUUCUUUAUUGAUUA